RNAcentral lists this ribosomal RNA (253 nucleotides) under uncultured bacterium. RNAcentral describes it as "partial 16S ribosomal RNA". It matches the Rfam family "Bacterial small subunit ribosomal RNA", at positions 524 to 776 of the family's 1533-position model. The record is from RNAcentral.
UACAGAGGGUGCAAGCGUUAAUCGGAAUUACUGGGCGUAAAGCGAGCGUAGUCGGUUAUUUAAGUCGGAUGUGAAAUCCCCGGGCUCAACCUGGGAAUUGCAUUCGAUACUGGAUAGCUAGAGUUCGGCAGAGGGAAGCGGAAUUUCGGGUGUAGCGGUGAAAUGCGUAGAUAUCUGGAGGAACACCGGUGGCGAAGGCGGCAUCCUGGACCAACACUGACGCUGAGGAGCGAAAGCCAGGGGAGCAAACGGG